GACGAACGCUGGCGGCGUGCUUAACACAUGCAAGUCGAACGGAAAGGCCCUGCUUUUGUGGGGUGCUCGAGUGGCGAACGGGUGCGUAACACGUGAGUAACCUGCCCUUGACUUUGGGAUAACUUCAGGAAACUGGGGCUAAUACCGGAUAGGAGCUCCUGCUGCAUGGUGGGGGUUGGAAAGUUUCGGCGGUUGGGGAUGGACUCGCGGCUUAUCAGCUUGUUGGUGGGGUAGUGGCUUACCAAGGCUUUGACGGGUAGCCGGCCUGAGAGGGUGACCGGCCACAUUGGGACUGAGAUACGGCCCGGACGCCUUCGUGAGGCAGCAGUGGGGAAUAUUGCACAAUGGGCGGAAGCCUGAUGCAGCAACGCCGCGUGCGGGAUGACGGCCUUCGGGUUGUAAACCGCUUUCGCCUGUGACGAAGCGUGAGUGACGGUAAUGGGUAAAGAAGCACCGGCUAACUACUU
This 467-nucleotide ribosomal RNA is filed under the name uncultured bacterium. RNAcentral's name for it is "partial 16S ribosomal RNA". It matches the Rfam family "Bacterial small subunit ribosomal RNA", at positions 28 to 506 of the family's 1533-position model. The record is from RNAcentral.